This 478-nucleotide ribosomal RNA is filed under the name uncultured bacterium. RNAcentral describes it as "partial 16S ribosomal RNA". It matches the Rfam family "Bacterial small subunit ribosomal RNA", at positions 28 to 523 of the family's 1533-position model. The record is from RNAcentral.
GACGAACGCUGGCGGCGUGCUUAACACAUGCAAGUCGAACGGUAAGGCCCUUCGGGGUACACGAGUGGCGAACGGGUGAGUAACACGUGGGUGAUCUGCCCUGCACUUCGGGAUAAGCCUGGGAAACUGGGUCUAAUACCGGAUAGGACUCCGGACUGCAUGGUCUGGGGUGGAAAGCUUUUGCGGUGUGGGAUGGGCCCGCGGCCUAUCAGCUUGUUGGUGGGGUGAUGGCCUACCAAGGCGACGACGGGUAGCCGGCCUGAGAGGGUGACCGGCCACACUGGGACGGAGAGACGGCCCAGACUCCUACGGGAGGCAGCAGUGGGGAAUAUUGCACAAUGGGCGCAAGCCUGAUGCAGCGACGCCGCGUGAGGGAUGACGGCCUUCGGGUUGUAAACCUCUUUCAGCAUCGACGAAGCGAAAGUGACGGUAGGUGCAGAAGAAGGACCGGCCAACUACGUGCCAGCAGCCGCCGUAA